GGGGGUGUAAAGGUUUCGACGGGGGUAAGAAGCAAAGGUUGCAUGCCGAGGUCCGGGUGGCUCGUUAAACAAUCCGGGACGCAUUUAAGCGCCGACAAUUACGAUUACGCUUUAGCAGCUUAAUAACCUGCUAACGUUCUACCUGCCUUCUCCCACGGGGGAGGAUAGAACGUCAUUCAGUGGGAUAGUUUCAGGGAGUGUCCGUGGCCCUGAGGCGAGAUUAAGCGGAACCGCCGAUCAGGAAUCCCGGCCUGUGGAGUCCUGAGAGGUUAAAUCAAAAACAGGUAUAAGCAUGUAGACGCCUUUUGUGUACGAUUCUCGGACGCGGGUUCGAUUCCCGCCACCUCCACCA
Geobacter sp. M18 is the source of this 352-nucleotide non-coding RNA. The record is from Rfam. NCBI's taxonomy places the organism in Bacteria, Pseudomonadati, Thermodesulfobacteriota, Desulfuromonadia, Geobacterales, Geobacteraceae.